Perca flavescens (yellow perch) is the source of this 466-nucleotide long non-coding RNA. RefSeq lists it as uncharacterized. The record is from RefSeq and is a predicted model, not a curated record. NCBI's taxonomy places the organism in Eukaryota, Metazoa, Chordata, Actinopteri, Perciformes, Percidae. The transcript is spliced from 3 exons.
CAUACUUUGUACGGACGUUAGCAAUAACUAGUUUAGUGCUUUUAUGGAUUUGUGUAAGAUUUGACAUGAACACCUGCAAGAAGGAAAUAUGGCUCAAACACGUAUAUGGAUUGUUGUGGAUACAGCAGAUGACGUGGUUUGCUAUGGAUUAUGUCUUCCAUGGAUUAUAUCGGAUUGCAUGGAAAGUGUCCUCCUCUCUUGUUCCUGUGGGCAGGAAAUCCAUGAUGUACAAUCCUGUCAUUGUGGAAGAAAGCAUAAGUGUAAGUGAAUGUCAUGUGUGCAUGUCUUAGUGUCUGUAUUUGUUCAACAUGUGCACAUUUCUCCAUUUGCAUGUGCAUGUGACUGUUCAACCAGGCCAAUGUAUCUGUGGAACAAACCAUAAAAACCCUUUAAAUAUUUUGCCUCAUAUCGUCUGUACUCCAUCAGUGGAGGAAAAUUAUGCCAAUGAACCAAAACAUAGCGAUUG